This 461-nucleotide ribosomal RNA is filed under the name uncultured bacterium. Its description in RNAcentral is "bacterial SSU rRNA". It matches the Rfam family "Bacterial small subunit ribosomal RNA", at positions 337 to 793 of the family's 1533-position model. The record is from RNAcentral.
UCCUACGGGAGCAGCAGUGGGAAUAUUGCACAAUGGGCGCAAGCCUGAUGCAGCCAUGCCGCGUGUAUGAAGAAGGCCUUCGGGUUGUAAAGUACUUUCAGCAGUGAGGAAGGUGGAUAUGUUAAUAGCAUAUUCAUUUGACGUUAGCUGCAGAAGAAGCACCGGCUAACUCCGUGCCAGCAGCCGCGGUAAUACGGAGGGUGCGAGCGUUAAUCGGAAUUACUGGGCGUAAAGCGCAUGCAGGUGGUUUGUUAAGUCAGAUGUGAAAGCCCGGGGCUCAACCUCGGAAUUGCAUUUGAAACUGGCAAACUAGAGUACUGUAGAGGGGGUAGAAUUUCAGGUGUAGCGGUGAAAUGCGUAGAGAUCUGAAGGAAUACCGGUGGCGAAGGCGGCCCCCUGGACAGAUACUGACACUCAGAUGCGAAAGCGUGGGGAGCAAACAGGAUUAGAUACCCUGGUAG